UACGUAGGUGGCAAGCGUUGUCCGGAUUUAUUGGGUUUAAAGGGUGCGUAGGCGGCUUAUUAAGUCAGUGCUGAAAUAUCCCGGCUUAACCGGGAGGGUGGCAUUGAUACUGAUGAGCUUGAGUAGAGUUGAGGUUGGCGGAAUUGACGGUGUAGCGGUGAAAUGCUUAGAUAUCGUCAAGAACGCCGAUAGUGAAGACAGCUGACUAAACUUUAACUGACGCUGAGGCACGAAAGUGUGGGGAUCAAACAGG
RNAcentral lists this ribosomal RNA (253 nucleotides) under uncultured bacterium. Its description in RNAcentral is "partial 16S ribosomal RNA". It matches the Rfam family "Bacterial small subunit ribosomal RNA", at positions 524 to 776 of the family's 1533-position model. The record is from RNAcentral.